UCCAGACUCCUACGGGAGGCAGCAGUGGGGAAUAUUGGACAAUGGGGGAAACCCUUAUCCAGCGACGCCGCGUGAGGGAAGAAGGUUUUCGGAUUGUAAACCUCUGUCAGUGGGGACGAUAAUGACGGUACCCACGGAGGAAGCCCCGGCUAACUACGUGCCAGCAGCCGCGGUAAUACGUAGGGGGCAAGCGUUAUCCGGAUUUACUGGGUGUAAAGGGAGCGUAGACGGUUAUGUAAGUCUGGAGUGAAAGCCCGGGGCCCAACCCCGGGACUGCUUUGGAAACUGUGUAACUGGAGUACAGGAGGGGCAGGCGGAAUUCCUGGUGUAGCGGUGAAAUGCGUAGAUAUCAGGAGGAACACCGGCGGCGAAGGCGGCCUGCUGGACUGAAACUGACGUUGAGGCUCGAAAGCGUGGGGAGCAAACAGGAUUAGAUACCCGUGUA
This 445-nucleotide ribosomal RNA is filed under the name uncultured bacterium. RNAcentral's name for it is "bacterial SSU rRNA". It matches the Rfam family "Bacterial small subunit ribosomal RNA", at positions 330 to 792 of the family's 1533-position model. The record is from RNAcentral.